RNAcentral lists this ribosomal RNA (822 nucleotides) under Salmonella enterica subsp. enterica serovar Oranienburg. RNAcentral describes it as "partial 23S ribosomal RNA". It matches the Rfam family "Bacterial large subunit ribosomal RNA", at positions 416 to 1238 of the family's 2925-position model. The record is from RNAcentral. Lineage: Bacteria; Pseudomonadati; Pseudomonadota; Gammaproteobacteria; Enterobacterales; Enterobacteriaceae.
GGCGGGACACGUGGUAUCCUGUCUGAAUAUGGGGGGACCAUCCUCCAAGGCUAAAUACUCCUGACUGACCGAUAGUGAACCAGUACCGUGAGGGAAAGGCGAAAAGAACCCCGGCGAGGGGAGUGAAAAAGAACCUGAAACCGUGUACGUACAAGCAGUGGGAGCACCCUUUGGGGUGUGACUGCGUACCUUUUGUAUAAUGGGUCAGCGACUUAUAUUCUGUAGCAAGGUUAACCGAAUAGGGGAGCCGGAGGGAAACCGAGUCUUAAUUGGGCGUUAAGUUGCAGGGUAUAGACCCGAAACCCGGUGAUCUAGCCAUGGGCAGGUUGAAGGUUGGGUAACACUAACUGGAGGACCGAACCGACUAAUGUUGAAAAAUUAGCGGAUGACCUGUGGCUGGGGGUGAAAGGCCAAUCAAACCGGGAGAUAGCUGGUUCUCCCCGAAAGCUAUUUAGGUAGCGCCUCGUGAAUUCAUCUCCGGGGGUAGAGCACUGUUUCGGCUAGGGGGCCAUCCCGGCUUACCAACCCGAUGCAAACUGCGAAUACCGGAGAAUGUUAUCACGGGAGACACACGGCGGGUGCUAACGUCCGUCGUGAAGAGGGAAACAACCCAGACCGCCAGCUAAGGUCCCAAAGUCAUGGUUAAGUGGGAAACGAUGUGGGAAGGCCCAGACAGCCAGGAUGUUGGCUUAGAAGCAGCCAUCAUUUAAAGAAAGCGUAAUAGCUCACUGGUCGAGUCGGCCUGCGCGGAAGAUGUAACGGGGCUAAACCAUGCACCGAAGCUGCGGCAGCGACACUCAGGUGUUGUUGGGUAGGGGAGCG